Equus quagga is the source of this 519-nucleotide long non-coding RNA. RefSeq lists it as uncharacterized. The record is from RefSeq and is a predicted model, not a curated record. The transcript has 4 exons. NCBI's taxonomy places the organism in Eukaryota, Metazoa, Chordata, Mammalia, Perissodactyla, Equidae.
GGCUGAUGUUCCAGCAGUUCCAAGAAGAGGAAAACGUGAGGAGCAGAAACUUCCACCGCAAGAUUUACGACGUGGAGCACGUCUUCUUGAACGCCACACAGAGCCAGAGGCUGGUCACCCUCAGCAGCACACUGCACCAGGAGCUGCUCAUCCAAGUCAGCAUCAGCCAGGUGUCCCUGCGCAGCUUCCGCCAAGUACUUGGAGGAGAGCCUGGGCAAGCUCUGCUACACCAACAUUGAGUUCAUCAAGCACUGCAGAUUGUUUUCAGAGGGAAGCAACAUUUCUUCUGAAGAAAUUGACUCACUGUGUCAUCGACUGGAGAAGGAAACUGCCCGGAUAGAGUUUGUUGAAAGCUUAAUCAUGAUCAACAUGGAGAAGAUGGAGAGCGAGUACCUGGACCAGGCCAAUGAUGUCAUCAAUAAAUUUGACAGUAAAUUCCAUAACCUGUCUGCGGACCUUAUUCUCUUAGAGAAAAUCCAGCGUUUGCUCACAAAUCUGCAGGUGAACAUCCAGUGCGAG